Molecule: ribosomal RNA, 683 nt
Filed under: Labedella sp.
Lineage: Bacteria; Bacillati; Actinomycetota; Actinomycetes; Micrococcales; Microbacteriaceae
Description: bacterial SSU rRNA
Rfam family: Bacterial small subunit ribosomal RNA
Source: RNAcentral
GUGGCGAACGGGUGAGUAACACGUGAGUAACCUGCCCUUGACUCUGGGAUAAGCGUUGGAAACGACGUCUAAUACCGGAUACGAACCGUGGAGGCAUCUCCUGCGGUUGGAAAGAAUUUUGGUCAAGGAUGGACUCGCGGCCUAUCAGCUAGUUGGUGAGGUAACGGCCCACCAAGGCGACGACGGGUAGCCGGCCUGAGAGGGUGACCGGCCACACUGGGACUGAGACACGGCCCAGACUCCUACGGGAGGCAGCAGUGGGGAAUAUUGCACAAUGGGCGAAAGCCUGAUGCAGCAACGCCGCGUGAGGGACGACGGCCUUCGGGUUGUAAACCUCUUUUAGCAGGGAAGAAGCGAAAGUGACGGUACCUGCAGAAAAAGCACCGGCUAACUACGUGCCAGCAGCCGCGGUAAUACGUAGGGUGCAAGCGUUGUCCGGAAUUAUUGGGCGUAAAGAGCUCGUAGGCGGUUUGUCGCGUCUGCUGUGAAAACGCGAGGCUCAACCUCGCGCCUGCAGUGGGUACGGGCAGACUAGAGUGCGGUAGGGGAGAUUGGAAUUCCUGGUGUAGCGGUGGAAUGCGCAGAUAUCAGGAGGAACACCGAUGGCGAAGGCAGAUCUCUGGGCCGUAACUGACGCUGAGGAGCGAAAGCAUGGGGAGCGAACAGGAUUAGAUACCCUGGUA